GUCAGUACUGGUCAUUACUGGUCACUUUGGGUCAUUUUUGGAUCAAUUUUGGGGUCAAUUUUGGGUCAUUUUUGGGUAAUUUUUGGUCAAUUUUUGGGUCUAUUUUGGGUCAUUUUUGGGUCAUCUUUGGGGUCAUUUUGGAUCCAUUUUGGGUCAAUUUUGUCUCAUUUUUGGAUCAUUUUUGGAUCAAUUUUGGGUCAUUUUUGGGUCUUUUUUUAUCAGUUUGGGGUCAUUUUGGGUCAUUUUUGGGACAUUUUUGGGUCAAUUUUGGGUCAUUUUGGGGUCAUUUUUGGGGUCAAUUUUGGGUCAUUUUGGGGUCAUUUUUGGGUCAUAUUUGGAUCAUUUUUGAUCAAUUUUUGGUCAUUUUUGGGUCAGUUCGGGGUCAGAUUUUGGGUCGAUUUUGGGUCAUUUUGGGGUCAAUUUUGGAUCAAUUUUGGGUCAUUUUUGGGUCUUUUUUUAUCAGUUUGGGGUCAUUUUGGGUCAUUUUUGGGACAUUUUUGGGUCAAUUUUGGGUCAACUUUGGAUCAAUUUUGGGUCAAUUUUGGAUCAGUUUUGGAUCAAUAUUUGGUCAUUUUGGGGUCGUUUUUGGGUCAGUUUUUGAUCAACUUUUGCCCGAUUUGGGAUGAAUUUUGAGUCAGUUCGGGGUCAGAUUUUGGGUCGAUUUUUGGUCAUUUUGGGUUAUUUUGGGGUCAAUUUUGGAUCAAUUUUGGGUCAUUUUGGGUUAUUUUGGGGUCAAUUUUGGGUCAAUUUUUGAUAAUUUUUGGGUCAAUUUUGGGUCUUUUUGGGGCCCUUUUUGGGUCAAUUUUGGAUCCUUUUUGUUUCAAUUUUGGGUCAUUUUCAGGUUAAUUUUGGGUCAUUUUUGGGUCAGUUUUGGGUCAAUUUUGGAUCAAUUUUGGUUCAAUUUUGGGUCAUUUUUUUAUCAGUUUGGGGUCAUUUUGGGUCAUUUUUGGGACAUUUUUGGGUCAAUUUUGGGGUCAACUUUGGGUCAUAUUUGGAUCAUUUUUUGAUCAAUUUUUGGUCAUUUUUGGGUCAGUUCGGG
Molecule: long non-coding RNA, 1039 nt
Filed under: Cyanistes caeruleus (blue tit)
Lineage: Eukaryota; Metazoa; Chordata; Aves; Passeriformes; Paridae
Description: lncRNA (ENSCCEG00000003309.1)
Source: RNAcentral